GUGGGAGCAAGGCUUGCCCGCGAUACAUACACUGCGGUUUCUGAGAAGACCGCAUCAGCUUCAUCGCGGGCAAGCCUUGCUCCCAC
Molecule: unclassified non-coding RNA, 86 nt
Filed under: Pseudomonas corrugata
Lineage: Bacteria; Pseudomonadati; Pseudomonadota; Gammaproteobacteria; Pseudomonadales; Pseudomonadaceae
Source: RNAcentral